RNAcentral lists this ribosomal RNA (171 nucleotides) under Ganoderma lucidum. RNAcentral's name for it is "partial 28S ribosomal RNA". It matches the Rfam family "Eukaryotic large subunit ribosomal RNA", at positions 8 to 176 of the family's 3401-position model. The record is from RNAcentral. Lineage: Eukaryota; Fungi; Basidiomycota; Agaricomycetes; Polyporales; Polyporaceae.
AAAUCAGGUAGGACUACCCGCUGAACUUAAGCAUAUCAAUAAGCGGAGGAAAAGAAACUAACAAGGAUUCCCCUAGUAACUGCGAGUGAAGCGGGAAAAGCUCAAAUUUAAAAUCUGGCGGUCUUUGGCCGUCCGAGUUGUAGUCUGGAGAAGUGCUUUCCGCGCUGGACU